UACGGAGGGUGCAAGCGUUGUUCGGAUUUACUGGGCGUAAAGCGCGUGUAGGCGGCUUUGCAAGUCGGAUGUGAAAUCCCACGGCUCAACCGUGGAAGUGCAUCCGAAACUGCAUCGCUGGAGUCUCGGAGAGGAAGGUGGAAUGCUUGGUGUAGAGGUGAAAUUCGUAGAUAUCAAGCAGAACACCUGCGGCGAAGGCGGCCUUCUGGACGAUGACUGACGCUGAGACGCGAAAGCGUGGGGAGCAAACAGG
RNAcentral lists this ribosomal RNA (253 nucleotides) under uncultured bacterium. RNAcentral describes it as "partial 16S ribosomal RNA". It matches the Rfam family "Bacterial small subunit ribosomal RNA", at positions 524 to 776 of the family's 1533-position model. The record is from RNAcentral.